Molecule: transfer RNA, 73 nt
Filed under: Candidatus Eiseniibacteriota bacterium
Lineage: Bacteria; Candidatus Eiseniibacteriota
Description: tRNA-Thr
Rfam family: tRNA
About the family: Transfer RNA (tRNA) molecules are approximately 80 nucleotides in length. Their secondary structure includes four short double-helical elements and three loops (D, anti-codon, and T loops).
Source: RNAcentral
GCCGAUGUAGCUCAGCCGGUAGAGCAGCUCAUUCGUAAUGAGCAGGUCCUCGGUUCGAGUCCGAGCAUCGGCU